This 773-nucleotide long non-coding RNA is filed under the name Oryzias sinensis (Chinese medaka). RNAcentral's name for it is "lncRNA (ENSOSIG00000003856.1)". Lineage: Eukaryota; Metazoa; Chordata; Actinopteri; Beloniformes; Adrianichthyidae. The record is from RNAcentral.
AUGUCCGGGCAGAGGCGUGGAAAGACCUUGAUCAUCACCGAUGAUGAGGAAGAGGAGGAGGGGCAGGCGGAGGACCUGAACCCGUUCUCCUUCAGGGAGUUCAUGCGCUGGAAGACUCACGACGGCGACCCGGAGCAGGACCAGAACCAAGUGGAGAGGAACAUGCCUCACCUGGAUGCGGACAUCAGCAGCUGCUUCCUAUCUGAGACUCACCUGGCAACGCAGGAGGAGGAGUGGGGGCGGAGCUUCCAGUCAGGCGUGGAGAGCACCUCCUCCCUGUGCACUGAAGAUGAUGAAGAGGAGGAGGAGGAGGAGACCCGGUUCUCCUCUAAGCCUGAAGGACACACAGAGAACUAUGAGGGAGACGAUGAGACCUCCCUGGCCGAGGCAGCCCCCACCUGCAGGAGGAGGACUGCUCAGAUGCAGCAGCUGAAGGAGGAGAACCAGACUAUGAGGAGGACGCUCAGGGAGCUGCAGAGGAGAGCCGAGGCUGACCAGCGCAGGGUGACACAGCUGACAGAAGAGCUGCUGCAGAGGAGGCGUCAGGAGGAGAAGGAGGCGCAGGAUCUUGAGAACAUGGUUCACUCUGUGGAGCAGAACCUGCAGCUGAUGACGAGCAGACGAGAGGGUUGGCUGUGGAUGACGUCAGGCGUGAAAGCUCACCUGAACGGUGGUGCCGACCAGAAUAGAUAAUCAUUUCUGGAGUCAGAAUGCAGACCGGCUCCAAAAGAACCAAAAGGCUCACAAGCAGAACCAUGUGGUGGUUUGAUUCC